GUUGUUGGGUAGGGGAGCGUUCUGUAAGCCGUUGAAGGUGUGCUGUGAGGCAUGCUGGAGGUAUCAGAAGUGCGAAUGCUGACAUAAGUAACGAUAAAGCGGGUGAAAAGCCCGCUCGCCGGAAGACCAAGGGUUCCUGUCCAACGUUAAUCGGGGCAGGGUGAGUCGACCCCUAAGGCGAGGCCGAAAGGCGUAGUCGAUGGGAAACAGGUUAAUAUUCCUGUACUUGGUGUUACUGCGAAGGGGGGACGGAGAAGGCUAUGUCAGCCGGGCGACGGUUGUCCCGGUUUAAGCAUGUAGGCGGAGGUUCCAGGUAAAUCCGGUACCUUUUAACGCUGAGGUGUGAUGACGAGGCACUACGGUGCUGAAGUGAUAAAUGCCCUGCUUCCAGGAAAAGCCUCUAAGCAUCAGGUAACACGAAAUCGUACCCCAAACCGACACAGGUGGUCAGGUAGAGAAUACCAAGGCGCUUGAGAGAACUCGGGUGAAGGAACUAGGCAAAAUGGUGCCGUAACUUCGGGAGAAGGCACGCUGAUGUGUAGGUGAAGCCCCUGCGGG
This 558-nucleotide ribosomal RNA is filed under the name Enterobacter hormaechei. Its description in RNAcentral is "partial 23S ribosomal RNA". It matches the Rfam family "Bacterial large subunit ribosomal RNA", at positions 1220 to 1780 of the family's 2925-position model. RNAcentral also lists the same sequence under 1 other name. Lineage: Bacteria; Pseudomonadati; Pseudomonadota; Gammaproteobacteria; Enterobacterales; Enterobacteriaceae. The record is from RNAcentral.